Molecule: ribosomal RNA, 251 nt
Filed under: uncultured bacterium
Lineage: Bacteria
Description: partial 16S ribosomal RNA
Rfam family: Bacterial small subunit ribosomal RNA
Source: RNAcentral
ACGUAGGGGGCAAGCGUUAUCCGGAUUUACUGGGUGUAAAGGGAGCGUAGACGGCAUGGCAAGUCUGAAGUGAAAUGCGGGGGCUCAACCCCUGAACUGCUUUGGAAACUGUCAGGCUGGAGUGCAGGAGAGGUAAGUGGAAUUCCUAGUGUAGCGGUGAAAUGCGUAGAUAUUAGGAGGAACACCAGUGGCGAAGGCGGCUUACUGGACUGUAACUGACGUUGAGGCUCGAAAGCGUGGGGAGCAAACAG